Molecule: unclassified non-coding RNA, 3484 nt
Filed under: Hevea brasiliensis (rubber tree)
Lineage: Eukaryota; Viridiplantae; Streptophyta; Magnoliopsida; Malpighiales; Euphorbiaceae
Source: RNAcentral
AUGAGACACUAGUUUAUAUAUAGAGAUUUUUAAUAGAAAGCUACUAGAAAAUGCUACUUCUAGAAUUUAUUAGAAACUACUAAAUUCUUCUAGAAUAACAAUACUCAGUUCUGCUCUGUUAAUCAAAUUUGUUGAAGAAGAGAAAAGCUAAAGGUUUGUUGGGAAACGCAUCUCUUGAAAUAAGACUUCGAACUAGUUGAUGCACACCGUUUCAUUAAAGUGCAGCAGCUCACUUCUUCUUUCAAUCUAACACACAGCGUUUUGUCCUUCAUUCUCCCAAAUGCUGCAUUUCAUUAAAUAACUUCAUCAGUAUCUUGUAUGCAGAUGGCUUACAUCUGCUUUUAAUUUCUCCAAUGACUCAUAGUUACCACCCUGUUUCUUCCGCUUAUUCAGCAAAGCAACCUUCCUUUGAUACUCAAAUUUCAUAAUUUCACCUGCCUGUCCAGCAGCAGUCAAACCACUUGUAACAUUCAUCAUAAACCAAGACAUAAGAAAAUUGCCACAUGUGCUUUGUAAUACGCAAAAGGAGGAAUAAAAGGAGUUCAGAUACAGCCAGAAUGGAAACUGUACAUGUAGUGAACAAUGAACUAAUGCAUUAAAGGUCCCUUUAGAUUGCCCAGGAAAUGAAAAUGGAAGGCAUGAAUUCCAUUCCACUAUAUGGCCAUACGAAGAAUCCAAAAUUGCAUUGCAUGAAUUCCAUUCCAUUAUAUGGCCAUACGAAGAAUCCAAAAUUGCAUUGCAUGAAUUCCAUUCCAUUAUAUGGCCAUACGAAGAAUCCAAAAUUGCAUUACUAAAUUUAUGCAUUUUUUUUUUCCUCAAAUCAAUUUCAGAGCAAAAUGAUGUAAAUUUUGUAUAUAAUUUUCAACAUUACCAAUAAACCACACUUGAUCUCAAAAAUAAACCAUUGAGGGAAUUCUUCGAAUGGGAUUAUCUAAUUUACAGCAAGCAUAUCGCACUCCAAGUGGACAAAGAAAAGGUCAAACACAAGUUUGCAAACUAACAAUUCAAACAUAUGAGAUACCAAGAAACCAAACAAAUAUGUCAUGAAUGUUGAUUCAAGGAAAGUGAAAAACAAAGAAACUAAUUCUUCUUCAGCUCCUAAAGCUUGUCCUGUGAAGAACAAUCAGUUGCAGGUGAACUCAAAAUUGUCUAUACUAAUAGGAGGGAACAGUCACCCAAAUAUGUUUACUGAUCCACGUCAACAAAUUCUUCUGCAUUCUUCCAUGAACCAAUCCAGAAAUAAUCCAGAAAUUUAUUAACUUCUUGAAAAAUUCUAUUUAUGUCGAAUUAACUUCCUGAAAUUUGGUAUUUCUCUAAAUGAAUAUUUGUUUAGAGAUAUAAAUUAUGUUAAACACUAGCAGAUCUCUCAAUUUCCAUUGUUGUAGUCACAAGAGGAAAAGCAAACUUCCAGUUGAGCAGAUAUUACAAUUAUAAAGUUCAUUACAUUGCCAAGCGGCAAGUUCUAGUAGUUAGUUAUACUGAAGAAAAAUAAAUUUGUGCACUAAACAUUUAAGGUUAGCCAUGCUGCAUAAGAGGCCAUUCCAAUUCAGUAAGCCACACAUAUGCAAAAACCUUUCAUAUGAGCUAAACAUGUGCAACCAAACACAAUUAUACAUACAUAUAUGGGGCAAUUCAUGAACUUCAACGAUCAAAACUCAAGAGUGGGUAAAAAGUAAAAACCUCUGUAAACAUUGUCAAUGUGAAAAUAAGGACGGGAAAUAGUGAUUAUCCAGGAAAGAUAAAAAAUAACAUGCAAACAAAGGAUGAAUGGAUGAAGCUGAAGCAACCAUGAAAACAUACUUUGACUUCAUCAUAAAGCUUCUUUUCCCAAGCUAGCAUCUUAUCCAAUACAGUAGCAUGAGUUUCAUGCUCAUCUGUGUCGACAUCAUCCUUACCAUCAUCAAAACUAGGCAUUCCUUUAAAUGACCGAUUCCAUGUAAUAACACGCAUCACUCUUUUAGAGUGAUCAAUAUGUCCUGCAAUACAGGUGUCAGGGUAAUUUAAAUGGGAAAUAUCUAUAGCCUGUGUAAGGUAUUACCAGCGUGAAAACAUAAUGAAUCGGUAGCUCUUUUUUCAGGUAAAUCAUCAAAAGAAAGGUUUUAAUACAAUUUUUUCCCCAUUUUCACCAACAAAAACAAUUCAACAGAUAAUGCAUAAUAAAAUACUAAUCACAACUAAAAUUUGUGAACAAAUCGUGGCAUAUUAGUAAAGAAACAACGAACCAAUUACCUCGAUUAUCAGCAAAAUUAGAGUGAUAAUGCAACCGUGUGGCCUCCAACAUCUUGGAAACCUCAUGGGCACUCUCAGAAGCCUUCAAGAAAUGAUCAUCAAGCUCAGCAAAUAUGACCAUCAAAUUCAUCGGUUUUCCCACCCUCCUCCCCAUUUCUCCACCGCCCUUUUUCACUACCUUCUUCUCCACUGCCGGUACUGGCACUGGCACUGGCACCUCGACCGCCUUCUCCACCUUUUCCUCAACCACCAACACCGGAUUCUCCUCCUGCUCUUCUUGUGGCACUUUAUUGGCCUUUUCCUCAAACUCCCUCCGCCCCAAUUCGUCCACCUCCAACGGUUCUGCCAAAGUAGGCCCCGGCAUACUCUCCACCGGCGCAAAAAAGUAAUCACUCCAAGACGAUCCCUGAUGCACCGUCGGGCCCCGAAUCACCUCCUCUUUCCACUGCUGCGAUGGCUGUGGCUGUUCUGCGCCCUGCUCCAUGUGAUGUUGACGUUGAUGAUUCUCUUGCACAGCUCCUCUGUUACUGCCACUGCCUCUUUUACUACUACUACUUCGCUUCCUUAUCAAUUUCUCAUUAUCAGGAGUAUCAAAUUCCAUCUCCUCGUCUUCCAUUAUCGUGGGCCCCACCGAUUUCGAUUCAGGCUUCUGGAUCAUCAUCUCCGGCAUGCUCGCGGCGCGCUGAAGCGGAAGCGGAGGAGGAGCUGCCGACGUCUGAAAGUUAGGGAGUGGCGGAGGUGGAGGAGGGAGCGUGUCGACAGAGGAAGAAGAAGGGGCGACUGGAGCGGCGGCGUGAGCAGGCAUAGAGGAGGAGCGGUGUGCGACCUCUCCAUGGGUGUAGUCACUGAGGGCGGCACCGGUGUUCUUUAAAGUUAUAGCGCAGGCGAAGUGAGCGGAGGCGAAGGCGUUGCGGGCGGCGACGGCAUCUUUCAUGAAUUUUUUGCGGUCUUUGCAGCGAGAAACGGCUUCUUCGUUCUCGAUCUUGGACUGGGUACAGCCCAUCUCUCAACUCAAUGUUCAGUAGAUUCUCAGUUUUGGAUCUUGCGAAGAGAUUGCUGAACCAAGUUUUUGCUCGUAUCGUAGUGGUAGAAAAAGCAGAGUGGUGGAUUUUAGGUACAGGGGGAUCCUGGCGGUGGUGAAGUCGUUUUACUGAUAGUUGUUAAAAAGUGUUUUAGGGAUCGAUGAAAUUUGUCGGAUUUCGACGAUUAUCGGGCCUGGAUUCCGAGGUAACCAACACUGUCAAACAGAUCUAUG